Pteropus alecto (black flying fox) is the source of this 3141-nucleotide long non-coding RNA. RefSeq lists it as uncharacterized. The record is from RefSeq and is a predicted model, not a curated record. Lineage: Eukaryota; Metazoa; Chordata; Mammalia; Chiroptera; Pteropodidae. The transcript has 3 exons.
CUAAUUUCUAAUUUUCUAAUUAUUAAAAAAUUUCUAUUUCUAAUUUUCUAAUUAUUUCUUUGACGGACCUCAAUUUCAUUUGAGAAUCAUUAUGGAGCUAAAAGAUAAGAGGAUUAUUUGAGACAAGAAGAAUUGGACUUAACUUACAAUGAAAAUAAGCAGACACUUCAAAUAGCUAUCUAAAGGCUAACUCUAUUUAUAAUAUACAACUCUUCUGUAGAGCACUGGGGUUCCAAAGAAUACACUUUGAGGAACUGAUAUUUAGGCAGAAAGAAGAGCUAUGCCAUAGCGUGAUGGUAGGUUAAAUAAAAGGGUAGGUUAAAUUAAGCAAAGAUGGUUGGGCUAUUGUGCACUGGAGUUUAUGUUAGGUGUUAGGAAUAGAAAAACCCAAGUCCUUACCCCCCAAACCAAUAACAACAUUCUUGUAAACAAUGGAGGGAUGUACAGUAUAGGCUGGGGCAGAAGAGGAGUCCCAUAUGUGCUUAAAAGAGACUGGGAAGGCCUAACAGCAAAGAUGACAUUUGACUAGGAGUUUUCCAUACAGAUAGAGUAAAAGCAGCAGAGGGAAUAGGAAAAGGUUACAGAGGAAUGACAGAGUGUAAUGUGUGUUGGAAACCACAAGUAUUUCUGUGCUGCUACAGGGUAAAAUGCAAAGCAGAAUUAGAGGAAAAGGCAAAAACAUGGUUUGAUGUAAGCAGGGAGUUUCUAAACUGUGUAAAGAUUUUUAUCUGGUAGAUCAUGGAAACAUGAAUAACUUUGAAUAUGGAAUGACAAGAUUAGAUUUGCUAAAAUUCAGAGAACAGUGAAAGGGAAGAUGGGUGAAUUGUCAAGAUUUGGGAGAAUUAUAAGCAGAAAUUUAGUAAGGAAGUUGAGCAGAGAGAAUGAAAGUCAAAUUUGAAUAGCGAUAAGUUAAAAGGAGAAAAUGAAUUCAGGAGAAUUUUAGUAUUUCAAAACAAAAUAGUUUAUUCCCACAGAGAUUAGAAUAUGGUGUAGCUAGUAGAUGGUGAUACAGGCAAAUGAGAGAAGAAAAAGCCAAGAAUAUGAGCAAAACGAUGAAAAGAGAAGCCUUCAAAGGUAGUGAAAAUAUGGGUAGAGGCAGACAGAUAUUAAAAGAAGAGAGAAUAUGGAGAAGAAAAUGGAGGGGGAUCAAAUGACAAAGGUUGCAAUAAUAUAAUAGAUGAUUUUAUAAAUUAUUUGGCAAAUUUUAUAAUUUUCUACUUUGUAUUAUUCAUCUAAUUCUUAUGGGUAUGUCUUAGAUUCACGUAAUGUCCUAUAUAGCUUUUCUUAUAUUACCAUUAAUAAAUAUUUGCUAAAUGAAAAGAAGGGAAAAGAAAAAAUAGUUUGUGGAUGGUUUUGCCAUUAUAUUUAGAUUGAAUUGAACAAAAGUAAUCUGGUGUCUGUAGAUUCAAUACGAAGAGCCACUUUUCCUCCGAUGGCUGUUUCAACAGAUCCUGUCCUAAUUAGCUUCAUAUCUAACUGGUACCCUUUGGUAUCUGAAUCAAAACAGAUACUUGUCAGCCACUCCACUUCUCCCCACCCGGAGAGAUGAACAUAGGAAGACUGUAGGAUGUAAUGUUAAAAGCCCUGGAGCUUUACUACCUGGGUUUCAGUUCAAAUUCUCUACUUCGUGACCUUAGGCAAGUUACUAAGACUUAGUUUCCUCAUGUGAAAAUAGGGAAAAUGAUUAUUUCUCACAAUAUUGUUUAAGGAUGAAAUGAGUUCAUGUGAUGACCUUAUAGCAGCCCUGAUCUAUAAAGCCUAAGAGGUAUUUGUUUGGUUAUUGUUGUUGUUGUUGUUGUUGUUGUUGUUAGGAGGAGGAAGUGGAGGAGGAGCAGCAGCAGCAAGGGCAGCAGCAGCAAUAGUACUGUUAGUAUUUUUAAACAUAGAUUCAGAAAGCGCAUAUUAAUCAUCAGCAAUCUGGGAUUGAAACUUUGUUAGGGCUCAUGAUCUCACAUCCAAUUGAAAUCUUGAAAUCAGUUCUGAUAAACUCUGCCUUCCAUUAACCAGAUUGCAUUAAUUCACUGUCCUUCUUUAUUUGCUUACAAACUUUUGCAGUGUUCUUCCUGUGGUAGGCAGAAUAACGGUCCCCACAAAAUAUCCAUAUUUUAAUUCCCCAAACCUGUGGAUAUGUUAGGUUACAUGCAAAGGGGAAUUAAGUUUGCAAAUGGUAACAUUGCUAAUCAGCUGCCUUUAUUUAGGUGGGCCCAAUGUAAUCACAUGGGUCUUUAAAAAUCAAAGAGGAAAGCAGAAGAAUCAGAGGGAGAUGUGACCAGAAAAAAUGGUCAGAGAUGCAGUGUUAAUGGAAUGGAAUAUGUUCAGUGUUUGGAAUGGAAAAGACAAAAGACUAAGAUUCCCCCCCAGAGCUUCCAGAAAGGAAUGUAACUCUGCCUACGCUUUGAUUUUAGCCAAGUGAGACCAGUGUUAGACUCCUGACCUACAGAACUGUAAGGUGAAAAAUUUGUGUUGUAAACCAUUGAGUCUGUGGUAAUUUGUUACAGCAGCAGAAGAAAACUAAUUGUGAUUUAAUGAAAAAUAUGUAUUUGGUCUUUGUCUCUCUGGUUCCUGGCACAGAGCUCAUGUAAUCCUUGGAAUUUCCUGAGUUAUAGGGUAAGAGAAGUGUCUUUUAUUUAUAAUAAGCCCCUUUCAACCAUAUCUGCAAUUAUGUUAAUGAGGUGUCUCUUGGCGAUGGGGGCUGGUUACCAGAGAAACCAACCAUGUGAUUAGAGAGUUAGAACUUUUAGCCCCACCUCUCCCAACCCCCAACAUCCAGGAUGGAGAGAAGGGUGGGGAAUUGGCUUAAUCAUCAAUGGCCAGUGAUUUAAUCAAUCAUGCCUAUUUAACGAAGACUCCAUUAAAAACUAACCAAAGUGGUUCUGAGAGCUUACAGGUUGGUGAACACAUAGAAAGUUGGAAUACUCAGAGAAGGUUUGAUGAAGAGUAGACAGUCAUGGAGAAAUAUGAUAAGACAAAGAGUAUAAGGCCAAUGAUACACAGAACUGCAUCAAUUGACUUGAAGUAACAUGAUGUGAAAGGAAAGAUGUUGUACAGGACAGGAGAAAUGGAUUCAAGCUCAGGAUCUACCACCAAAGAGCUUGGGCAAAUCAACCAAUAUCUUUGAAUCUUAAUUUCUUUAUCACAAAA